CGUAUGGUUCUAUUUUGUUGGUUUCUAGGACCGUCGUAAUGAUUAAUAGGAACGGUCGGGGGCAUCAGUAUUGAGUAGCUAGAGGUGAAAUUCUUGGAUUUACUCAAGACUAACUAGUGCGAAAGCAUUUGCCAAGGACGUUUUCAUUAAUCAAGAACGAAAGUUAGGGGAUCGAAGACGCUUAGAUACCGUCGUAGUCUUAACCGUAAACUAUGCCGACUUGGGAUCGGACAGGUCAUUAUAUUUUGCUUGUUCGGCACCACGUGAGAAAUCAAAGUUUUUAGGUUCUGGGGGGAGUAUGGUCGCAAGGCUGAAACUUAAAGGAAUUGACGGAAGGGCACCACCAGGAGUGGAGCCUGCGGCUCAAUUUGACUCAACACGGGGAAACUC
Molecule: ribosomal RNA, 390 nt
Filed under: fungal sp.
Lineage: Eukaryota; Fungi
Description: SSU rRNA
Rfam family: Eukaryotic small subunit ribosomal RNA
Source: RNAcentral